This 1340-nucleotide ribosomal RNA is filed under the name uncultured bacterium. Its description in RNAcentral is "bacterial SSU rRNA". It matches the Rfam family "Bacterial small subunit ribosomal RNA", at positions 27 to 1381 of the family's 1533-position model. The record is from RNAcentral.
GAACAAACGCUGGCGGCGUGCCUAACACAUGCAAGUCGUACGAGAAAGUCGGCUUCGGCCGAUGAGUACAGUGGCGCACGGGUGAGUAGCGCGUGGGUAAUCUGCCCCCCGGUCAGGAAUAACCCGCCGAAAGGCGGGCUAAUACCCGAUAACACUGACGCUCCGCGGAGCGUCUUUCAAAGGAGGCCUCUGUUUACAAGCUUUCGCCGGAGGAUGAGCCCGCGUACCAUUAGCUAGUUGGCAGGGUAAUGGCCUACCAAGGCUGCGAUGGUUAGCUGGUCUGAGAGGGUGGCCCCCCACAAUGGAACUGAAACACGGUCCAUACACCUACGGGUGGCAGCAGUAGGGAAUAUUAGUAAUGGGCGAAAGCCUGAACUAGCAACGCCGCGUGUGCGAAGAAGGCCUUCGGGUCGUAAAGCACUUUUUGAGAGGAUGAGGAAGGACGGUACUCUCAGAAUAAGUCUCGGCUAACUACGUGCCAGCAGCCGCGGUAACACGUAGGAGGCAAACGUUAUCCGGAUUUACUGGGCGUAAAGCGCGUGUAGGUGGUUUGGUAAGUAGGGCGUGAAAGCUCCUGGCUCAACUGGGAGAGGACGUUCUAAACUGCCAAGCUUGAGGAUGGUAGAGGGAGGUGGAAUUCCGGGUGUAGCGGUGGAAUGCGCAGAUAUCCGGAGGAACACCAGUGGCGAAGGCGGCCUCCUGGACCACUCCUGACACUCAGACGCGAAAGCUAGGGUAGCAAACGGGAUUAGAGACCCCGGUAGUCCUAGCCCUAAACGAUGUAGACUUGGCGUCGGUGGUUUAAUCGCCAUCGGUGUCGUAGCUAACGCGAUAAGUCUACCGCCUGGGGACUACGGCCGCAAGGUUAAAACUAAAAGGAAUUGACGGGUCCCCGCACAAGCAGCGGAGCGUGUGGUUUAAUUCGAUGCUACACGAAGAACCUUACCUGGGUUUGACAUAGAGGUAGUAGGGAAGCGAAAGCGGACCGACCCUUCGGGGAGCCUCUACAGGUGUUGCAUGGCUGUCGUCAGCUCGUGUCGUGAGAUGUUCGGUUAAGUCCGCUAACGAGCGCAACCCUCGCUGUGUGUUACAAGUGUCACACGGUACUGCCGAUAUUAAGUCGGAGGAAGGUGGGGAUGACGUCAAGUCAGCAUGACCUUUAUAUCCAGGGCUACACACACGCUACAAUGGCCAGUACAAUGGGUUGCCAAGCCGCGAGGCGGAGCCAAUCCUAAAAAGCUGGCCUCAGUUCAGAUUGCAGUCUGCAACUCGACUGCAUGAAGUUGGAGUUGCUAGUAACCGCAGGUCAGCAAUACUGCGGUGAAUACGUUCCCGGGGAU